This 309-nucleotide long non-coding RNA is filed under the name Nicotiana benthamiana. RNAcentral's name for it is "long non-coding RNA (NBEN_LNC033508)". Lineage: Eukaryota; Viridiplantae; Streptophyta; Magnoliopsida; Solanales; Solanaceae. The record is from RNAcentral.
GAGGAUCAGUGGUACAACAGUAGUGUAAGCCACAGCAAAUAGUUCCAACAGCAACAGCAGUAAACCAGUAUCAAACAGUAGCAAGAAUUCCAGGAACAGAUUAAAACCCAACAAUAUCAGAAAACCAACGCAAGCAAAUCAGAAGAGAAACAACCACAAAAAGGCCUCACUUUCAGUGCAUAAGCUCUCACAAAUUAACUGACUUCUUGAUGUCAAAAUUCAGCCUUAAAUUCCCCUUAAGUUCUGAAAUUCUUUUCUCAAAAAAUUUAGUUCACUCUCUAAAAUUCAGUUUUAAGCUCUCAAUUUUUC